CUGUCAGGUGCGCCGGGAUGCGCCGGGAACGGGGAGCAGCCGGGGGGCUCCGGGCUGGGCGGCGUUCCGGCGGCGGCGGCGCCUCCCGCGCGGUGAAAUGCAGGACGAGCGGCCCCGCUGUGCUGUUUCCUCCUCGGGGAGAGCUUGAAACGAGAGGGAAAGAGAGAGAGAGAGCGAGAGGGGAGAGCGAUCGGUGGUGACUCGGGGGCUGGCCGGGCUGCUGCUGGGGCUCGGCGGCCGCAGACGGUGGAUUUGUGGGAAGAGGACGGGAUGAGAAAUAAACGCACCUGGCCAGCGGUGUUUAGGGGAGCGGGGGCCGGGUGCCCCCGCUGGCUGCCGGAGCCCCCGGACUCCGGACGCGGACCCGCCGAGCUGCAAUGGACGCUGCCCGCCGCUGGCCGCAGAGCGGAGCACACCCGCCGCCGCCGCCACCGCCGCCGAGGAGGGAGAGCUGCCCGCCCGGAGCCGGCCCGCAGCGCGCCCCUCGCCCGAAGAGGGGCCGGGAGUUUCCUCUUCGGCAUCGCUCCGGUGACCGCGGGCUGUGCCAGCCCGCCGCCCAGAUAGGUUGCGUGGCAGCCACGGCGCGAGCGAAUAGAACUCCUUGGAUGUGUCGGAAGUAAGCGCCGGGAGCAUUUUGUGAUCUUUGUGGGAGGAAGGCACAAGCCACCCAGGCCCCGUUCCCUCCAUCUUGAGCUUUCCAUGGUGAUUUGCAGCAGCACAGGGAAGUAUGAAGCACUGAGGAACAGAAGUCAGUGUUUAAACCUGACUUCACUUCUGCAUUAACGACCACAUAAGUUUCAGAUAACAGAGGACCAGGGGUAGAAUAGCAGAAGCACUUAAGGUGCCUCAUUUAAAAGUUCUUUUUUGCAUAACUAAAGAUUCGGGAGCUGUUCAGAAAAGAUGAUUAUACAAGUGUUUUUAUUUACUGUCCUAGCAGAAGAUGAUGAUCCGCAUUAUCUUAUAUGCAUCUUGGAUGCAUCUGUAUCACCAUAUAGAUUUCAGGCGACCUGUAUUGAUUUAAGUUAGUAAAGAAAUACAGUGAAGUUUUAAAUAAUUGGAAUAAUAUUCUCCCUCUCUUUCAGCCAGAUUUGCCCUUCAUGUUACUUGUGUUUCAUAAUCCUCCUAGCUCUCCAUUUCGUCAUUACAAGACCAGCAUCUCUACUGUAAAAAAAAAAAAAAAAACACAGAGAGAGAGAAA
Long non-coding RNA from Vidua chalybeata, 1198 nucleotides. RefSeq lists it as uncharacterized. The record is from RefSeq and is a predicted model, not a curated record. NCBI's taxonomy places the organism in Eukaryota, Metazoa, Chordata, Aves, Passeriformes, Viduidae. The transcript is spliced from 3 exons.